Neopelma chrysocephalum (saffron-crested tyrant-manakin) is the source of this 238-nucleotide long non-coding RNA. RefSeq lists it as uncharacterized. Lineage: Eukaryota; Metazoa; Chordata; Aves; Passeriformes; Pipridae. The transcript is spliced from 2 exons. The record is from RefSeq and is a predicted model, not a curated record.
GGUCACAUGGGAGCGGUCACGUGACGGCGAUGGAGGGGGACGGCGCGUACGAGCCGGGAUUCGUCGGGAUCCGGUUCUGCCAGGAAUGUAACAACAUGUUGUACCCCAAGGAGGACAAGGAGAACCGGAUCCUUCUCUACGCCGUGAGUGACCCCAAACUGGGACCAGUAAUCCCCCCAGACUGGGACUAGUAACCCCCCCAAACUGGGAUCAGUGACCCCAAACUGGGACCAGUAAC